GACGAACCGUGCGAACGUUGUUCGGAUUCACUGGGCUUAAAGGGCGCGUAGGCGGGCAACCAAGUCAGGGGUGAAAUCUUUCGGCUCAACCGGAAAACAGCCUCUGAUACUGGUCGUCUGGAGGGAGGUAGGGGUCUGUGGAACUUCUGGUGGAGCGGUGAAAUGCGUAGAUAUCAGAAGGAACGCCGGUGGCGAAAGCGACGGACUGGACCUCUUCUGACGCUGAGGCGCGAAAGCUAGGGGAGCAAACGGG
RNAcentral lists this ribosomal RNA (253 nucleotides) under uncultured bacterium. RNAcentral's name for it is "partial 16S ribosomal RNA". It matches the Rfam family "Bacterial small subunit ribosomal RNA", at positions 524 to 776 of the family's 1533-position model. The record is from RNAcentral.